Molecule: long non-coding RNA, 237 nt
Filed under: Exaiptasia diaphana
Lineage: Eukaryota; Metazoa; Cnidaria; Anthozoa; Actiniaria; Aiptasiidae
Description: uncharacterized LOC114574873
Source: RNAcentral
AGAAUGAUCUCAAAGAAUUUCACUCCUUGGUCGAGCUGUGCAAUCCAGGCGUUCUUGGGAGCCAAGUACUAUUUCGUCGCGUUUAUGAACAACCUAUUAUCCAAGGACAACAACCUAAUGCAACAAGUGAAGAAAAAGAACUCGGGCAAACCAGAGCAUCGGAGCUCAACCGGUUAACAAGCCAGUUUUUCUUGAGGAGAACAUCAGAGAUUAACAACAAGUAUUUACCGUCUAAAG